GAAAUGCGAUACGUAGUGUGAAUUGCAGAAUUCAGUGAAUCAUCGAAUCUUUGAACGCACAUUGCGCCCUUUGGUAUUCCAAAGGGCAUGCCUGUUCGAGCGUCAUUUGUACCCUCAAGCUUUGCUUGGUGUUGGGCGUUUUUUGUCUUUGGUUGCCAAAGACUCGCCUUAAAAGGAUUGGCAGCCGGCCUACUGGUUUCGCAGCGCAGCACAUUUUUGCGCUUGCAAUCAGCAAAAGAGGACGGCAAUCCAUCAAGACUCCUUCUCACGUUUGACCUCUGAUCAGGUAGGGAUACCCGCUGAACUUAAGC
RNAcentral lists this unclassified non-coding RNA (311 nucleotides) under plant metagenome. RNAcentral's name for it is "partial contains 5.8S ribosomal RNA, internal transcribed spacer 2, and large subunit ribosomal RNA". The stretch from base 1 to 105 matches the Rfam family "5.8S ribosomal RNA", at positions 50 to 154 of the family's 154-position model. The record is from RNAcentral.